This 468-nucleotide ribosomal RNA is filed under the name uncultured bacterium. RNAcentral describes it as "partial 16S ribosomal RNA". It matches the Rfam family "Bacterial small subunit ribosomal RNA", at positions 28 to 507 of the family's 1533-position model. The record is from RNAcentral.
GACGAACGCUGGCGGCGUGCUUAACACAUGCAAGUCGAACGGAAAGGCCCUGCUUUUGUGGGGUGCUCGAGUGGCGAACGGGUGAGUAACACGUGAGUAACCUGCCCUUGACUUUCGGAUAACUUCAGGAAACUGGGGCUAAUACCGGAUAGGAGCUCCUGCUGCAUGGUGGGGGGUGGAAAGUUUCGGCGGUUGGGGAUGGACUCGCGGCUUAUCAGCUUGUUGGUGGGGUAGUGGCUUACCAAGCCUGUGACGGGUAGCCGGCCUGAGAGGGUUAACGGCCACAUUGGUACUGAGAGACGGACCAGACGCCUACGGGAGGCAGCAGGGGGGAAUAUUGCACAAUGGGCGGAAGCCUGAUGCAGCAACGCCGCGUUCGGGAUGACGGCCUUCGGGUUGUAAACCGCUUUCGCCUGUGACGAAGCGUGAGUGACGGUAAUGGGUAAAGAAGCACCGGCUAACUACGUG